GACUCCAUCCCCGCCCCCAUUCAAGGGGCGCGGUGGGGUGGGGACAGGUCUCUCUACCUGGGCAGUCCGGUAGUCGGCGCCACAGGGGAAUGGGCAGGGGCGGCGGGGCCUGGGCUCAGCAGCUCCAGCCAAGGGCCACAUCCAGCAGGAAGCUGCAAGAACUCCGAGGACUCAGGUGGACAGCAGGGCGGGUAAUCGCGGAACUUGUGCGGCUUGGCCGGCUGCGGACGAGAAAGAGCGCGCCGGCUGAGCUCGGGCGCCCUCUGGUGGCAAAGUCUCCCACACUCUCUGCUUCCCACCCCUGCUUCACCCUGGCACCUCCCACGCCCCCAUUCCUCCCUCCCCCCUCCCGUCCCCGAGGUCCCGGUGGACCAAGGCUCAGGCUCUUCCCUGAUCCCUGCGCAGCGAGGUGAAACUAAAGUGUUCUGUGGAAAAUCGAGAAGGCUGGAGUUGGCACGUCUUGGAGCCUGGAACUCAGAGCCUGCGGGGAGCUGCGGGGAGCCUUCCUGCUAAAGGGAAUUACAGUUUCUCGCUUGCUGCUU
Molecule: long non-coding RNA, 542 nt
Organism: Hyaena hyaena (striped hyena)
Lineage: Eukaryota; Metazoa; Chordata; Mammalia; Carnivora; Hyaenidae
Exons: 2
Source: RefSeq, a predicted model, not a curated record